This is a non-coding RNA of Rattus norvegicus (Norway rat), 2766 nucleotides long. Lineage: Eukaryota; Metazoa; Chordata; Mammalia; Rodentia; Muridae. The record is from RefSeq and is a predicted model, not a curated record.
UUUGGUGGCUGACUUAUAUAUAUAUAUAUACUUUUGGUGGAUCCUAAACGUAUGUGGUUAGGUGGAAUUGUAACAUGGAUUCUGAGCAACUAGGUCAAGAAUGUAGACUUCAGAAAUGCCAGUGCCAAAUAGACUCCCUCAAGUUCUUAUGAACCUAUUGAAGUAGAGGUUUCACUGGUCCUCAAGCCAUCCUUCUUUCUGCCCAUCCUCCAGUAUCGUAUGUUUGGCCUUCAGAGAGAAUCACGGUAAAACAUCCAACCCUCAAUUCUAGCAAUAGGAACACAGGAAAGUAGAUAGUGUAGUACUGCUAUCAAAUAGGACUAGAGAAUUCUAUAGUCAUUAUGUCAUUUGCUUUGCUGAAAAUGGAAUUGGAAACAGAAUUUUUGAGUGCACAUACAGGAAUAUUAAUAAAGUCUCAUCGUGGAAUGUACAAUGAGAAAGUGAAAUACAAUAUUCAUUCAAUUAAGGUCUGUAGGCAAAAUAUUGUCCUUUGGGAUAUAGAGAAAACCUGGGAUAUUGAACUGUAUGUCACAGGAAUGAACCUGGGAAUAAAAUAUCUAGAAGAAUCUCCUCCACUCUAUGUUGCUAAAUCUUUUCUAGCCAUGCUCAGCCCCUAACUUUGUCCAUUCAGAGCAGGUAACCCCUAAUGAAACAAAGAGAAAUCUCUACCUUUAGAGAGAUGUAGUGUGUAAAGUUUUCCACCCUUAAACAGGAGACUCUCCUGAAAGUGUCACCCUCAAAUUUGGUCAAUGUAAGGAAAGCUGUUUAGCAGGUAGACCAUGGCAGUUUUCAGUGACUUCAUUAGGCCUCGCUGAAAUAACUCUUGUAUCCUGGAACCCGAGCUUCUUCUGUGAUGUCACAAGUGUCCUGACUGCAACCGCCUCUCAGAUAUCCCUUCAGGACCUCUAGGGUUCACUAAUUGUCCUUUAAUGCAUUGUAUACAGCCAUUUGAGAGGGAGAACACAGAGGAUGAAGUGAUCAGACAUGGGGAAUAUGAAGCUGGCCUUCUGUCUUGGGUAUGGACUGAAGAAACUGAAGGGGAGGGCAGCCUCUAUAGGAAGACCAACAGUCUCGAAUCAUCCCCACCCCUGAGAUCUCCCAGACACUUAGCCACCAACCAGGGUAUCUUUGAACUUGGGACAUCUUGCCACAUUCUAGGUGCUGAGACUACAUUCAGGCAAUUUCCAGCUUUCUUUCCUUUAUCUUAGUAAGAUGUGUUAGAUUAAAUAUGUUAAUAUUAUGCAGUAAAUCCUCCAUAUGUUUACUUAUAGAACCUUGGCUCAGUGUCUGUUUCAUUCCUCUGCAAUGACUAUAUUAAUUUUAGAGUUCACAGUUCUCUCUUUCUUUACACAAUUGAUCAGAUGUGUUUUUCUUUCAUAUAGAAUGAAUAAGAGCCUUUUAGUUUUUCUUUGAAUAGUUAAUGUACUAAGAAAAUGUGUUGAAAUUCCCAUUUUAAGGCCAAGCCAAAACAUUAUUUCUUUAAAAUGUUCCUGGAGUUAUGUUUUUCUUUUUCUUAUUAUUAUUAUUGUUCUCAUUAGUCUCAUUAUUAAUAUUCUGUGUAAGCUUUUAUGUGUUCAAGUCAUGUAGUGAAUAUGGAAAUCUUCCAAACAUAUAUGUGUAGGUAUCAAAUUUAGGUUCUUGGUUUUUCAUGGCAUAAAAUUUUAUCUGCUCAGGGACCUCACUAGAACACACUGUAAAACAUUAAGGUGACAUAUAGCUCCAGGCUGCUUUUAUAUAUACAAUGUUUCCAUCAUUUUGUUUUAAAAAAUAUUUUUGAUUAUUCUAAUAUAUUUUGUUUUCAAUGUCCAGUUGGUAAGUCUAGUAUGCUUAUUUUAUUAUUUAAGUAAUAAUUUAAUCAUAAUUAUUGUGCACUUGAUACAUAGCUAAUAUGAAAUUAUCUUAUAAAAUUGAAUAAAUGUAAUUAGUUCCCUUCAGCAUGAACCUUGGUACAUAAUUUUGUUCAUUAUUACUAUGUAUUUGCAUAAAACAGAGAAUAUUUCAUUGUCCCAAUACUGAUGCCAAUUUUAUACAGUAUGACAGCUACCAACUACAUGUGACUUUUAAUCAUUUAAAAGGAGUUAAGAUUAUAUUGUUAAAUGAUAUUUCCAUAACAUCAAGUAAAUAGAUUUUUUUGCUUCAAUUAAUUAAACGUGCUACAGCAGGAAAAAAUUUAAUUUCCUUUGAUAUGUUAAAAUGAAAUUUAUCUUUACCAUUCUCCUGCCUAUCAGAAAGCCAAUAUUCUUAUACAGGAAGAUUUGCCAAGCACAUGGCAGGAUAGCCACAAAGGCAGUGCAGUGGCAUGAAUAGCUUGGUGAUAGCCAACAGCUCUCUAAUUUUGCUUAAGUCCUGUUCAGUGAACAUGGAUGGUACUGAUAGUUUAUCCACAUAUAUAAGGUUAUUGAAGCUGUGGUUACAUACUAAAGCCAGUAUCAUACCUAACAACAAUCAUAGCCAUGUGUCCUUAUAUACAGAGUAAUUACAGUCUCUGCAGCAAAGAUCACAGUAAAAAUCCCAGCCAAUCAUAUACCCAAAAGAUGCCUCAACAUAUAAAAGAGAAACGUGCUCCACUAUGUUCAUCGCAGCCUUAUUUUUAAUAGCCAGAAAAUGGAAAGAACCCAGAUGCCCUUCAACAGAGGAAUGGGUACAGAAAAUGUGGUACAUCUACACAAUGGAAUAUUACUCAGCUAUCAAAAUCAACGAGUUUAUGAAAUUCGUAGGCAAAUGGUUAGAACUGGAAAAUAUCAUCCUGAGUGAGCUAACCCAAUA